AGUGAACGCUGGCGGUAGGCCUAACACAUGCAAGUCGAACGGCAGCACAGUAAGAGCUUGCUCUUCCGGGUGGCGAGUGGCGGACGGGUGAGGAAUAAAUCGGAAUCUACUUUUUCGUGGGGGAUAACGUAGGGAAACUUACGCUAAUACCGCAUACGACCUACGGGUGAAAGCAGGGGAUCUUCGGACCUUGCGCGAUUGAAUGAGCCGAUGUCGGAUUAGCUAGUUGGCGGGGUAAAGGCCCACCAAGGCGACGAUCCGUAGCUGGUCUGAGAGGAUGAUCAGCCACACUGGAACUGAGACACGGUCCAGACUCCUACGGGAGGCAGCAGUGGGGAAUAUUGGACAAUGGGCGCAAGCCUGAUCCAGCCAUACCGCGUGGGUGAAGAAGGCCUUCGGGUUGUAAAGCCCUUUUGUUGGGAAAGAAAAGCAGCAGGUUAAUACCCCGCUGUUCUGACGGUACCCAAAGAAUAAGCACCGGCUAACUUCGUG
RNAcentral lists this ribosomal RNA (492 nucleotides) under uncultured bacterium. Its description in RNAcentral is "partial 16S ribosomal RNA". It matches the Rfam family "Bacterial small subunit ribosomal RNA", at positions 29 to 507 of the family's 1533-position model. The record is from RNAcentral.